This 450-nucleotide ribosomal RNA is filed under the name uncultured bacterium. RNAcentral's name for it is "partial 16S ribosomal RNA". It matches the Rfam family "Bacterial small subunit ribosomal RNA", at positions 354 to 796 of the family's 1533-position model. The record is from RNAcentral.
GUGGGGAAUUUUGGACAAUGGGCGAAAGCCUGAUCCAGCCAUGCCGCGUGCAGGAUGAAGGCCUUCGGGUUGUAAACUGCUUUUGUACGGAACGAAAAGACUCCUUCUAAUAAAGGGGGUCCAUGACGGUACCGUAAGAAUAAGCACCGGCUAACUACGUGCCAGCAGCCGCGGUAAUACGUAGGGUGCAAGCGUUAAUCGGAAUUACUGGGCGUAAAGCGUGAGCAGGCGGUUAUAUAAGACAGAUGUGAAAUCCCCGGGCUCAACCUGGGAACUGCAUUUGUGACUGUAUAGCUAGAGUACGGUAGAGGGGGAUGGAAUUCCGCGUGUAGCAGUGAAAUGCGUAGAUAUGCGGAGGAACACCGAUGGCGAAGGCAAUCCCCUGGACCUGUACUGACGCUCAUGCACGAAAGCGUGGGGAGCAAACAGGAUUAGAAACCCGAGUAGUCC